CCUGGAUGGUGUAUCACCAUGCUAACCAUGAUGCCCUCCUCAGUCUCCUCACCAUCUUUCUUCGUCUUCUGCAACCGUCGUCGAUAACUGACGACAAGCCAUCCAGCAAUACAAGGGUCUGCUACUGUAAACCAGAACGCUUGGAAGUGCAAGCUUUACCCCCGGCUGGCCCCGCAUGGUCCUCGGUGUAUGUUCACGUUAUGGAGAUGUCACUUUUCUACACAUAACCUAUCUGGAUCGCUGAUGGUGGGCUCUUCAUCUACUGCUGAGUUGCGGGAUGGAUCGCGGAAGACUACUGGAAGGGUAGACACGGCGCAUCGCACAGAGGACAACGUGAAGACAAAAUAUGUCCCGUUUAUCUUUAGUAUACAAAUAAUACACAGCAGUAAGGGCAUUAGUAACAAUUACCCACACACAAGGUACCUUUGGAACA
Strongylocentrotus purpuratus (purple sea urchin) is the source of this 433-nucleotide long non-coding RNA. RefSeq lists it as uncharacterized. The transcript has 3 exons. The record is from RefSeq and is a predicted model, not a curated record. NCBI's taxonomy places the organism in Eukaryota, Metazoa, Echinodermata, Echinoidea, Camarodonta, Strongylocentrotidae.